Molecule: non-coding RNA, 29 nt
Filed under: Mus musculus (house mouse)
Lineage: Eukaryota; Metazoa; Chordata; Mammalia; Rodentia; Muridae
Source: RNAcentral
UGCUCACCAGGCCAAAUCUCACAAUACUC